This 46-nucleotide non-coding RNA is filed under the name Schistosoma mansoni. Lineage: Eukaryota; Metazoa; Platyhelminthes; Trematoda; Strigeidida; Schistosomatidae. The record is from RNAcentral.
AUCCAGCUUGACGAGUCUCAAAUAGGACGAAACGCGCGUCCUGGAU